This 268-nucleotide ribosomal RNA is filed under the name uncultured bacterium. RNAcentral describes it as "partial 16S ribosomal RNA". It matches the Rfam family "Bacterial small subunit ribosomal RNA", at positions 90 to 354 of the family's 1533-position model. The record is from RNAcentral.
CCGGACCGGCGCGACGGGUGCGUAACGCGUAUGCAACCUACCUAUCAGGAGGGGGAGUAACCCGGCGAAAGUCGGACUAAUACCGCAUGAAGCAGGGGCCCCGCAUGGGGAUAUUUGCUAAAGAUUCAUCGCUGAUAGAUAGGCAUGCGUUCCAUUAGGCAGUUGGCGGGGUAACGGCCCACCAAACCGACGAUGGAUAGGGGUUCUGAGAGGAAGGUCCCCCACAUUGGUACUGAGACACGGACCAAACUCCUACGGGAGGCAGCAG